GCCUUGGUGGAUCAAUUGGCAGAUCAUCCCAGCUUUAUACGCGUUCUUUAACCGGUAUACGGGAGAACGGAGGUUCGAAUCCUCCCCAAGGCA
Molecule: non-coding RNA, 93 nt
Organism: Mycena rebaudengoi
Lineage: Eukaryota; Fungi; Basidiomycota; Agaricomycetes; Agaricales; Mycenaceae
Source: the annotation of a GenBank genome assembly